Molecule: ribosomal RNA, 741 nt
Filed under: Glomus ambisporum
Lineage: Eukaryota; Fungi; Glomeromycota; Glomeromycetes; Glomerales; Glomeraceae
Description: SSU rRNA
Rfam family: Eukaryotic small subunit ribosomal RNA
Source: RNAcentral
CGGUGAGCAUGGCAUCUUUCAAUGUUAGAUUGAAGUUUUCAAGCGGUUUGGUUCCACCCCAUUUUUUUGGGUCCCCACCCAAUCCCCAGUUUUGGAUUUCCAGACCGUUUUUUUUAUACCCCGUUCUUUCGGAUCUCGUAAUUGGAAUGAGUACAAUUUAAAUCUCUUAACGAGGAACAAUUGGAGGGCAAGUCUGGUGCCAGCAGCCGCGGUAAUUCCAGCUCCAAUAGCGUAUAUUAAAGUUGUUGCAGUUAAAAAGCUCGUAGUUGAAUUUCGGGGUUAGUAGGUUGGUCGUGCCACCGGUAUGUACUGGCUUUACUGAUCCCUCCUUCUUGUAGAACCGUAAUGCCAUUAACUUGGUGUUGCGGGGAAACAGGACUGUUACUUUGAAAAAAUUAGAGUGUUUAAAGCAGGCUAACGCUUGAAUACAUUAGCAUGGAAUAAUGAAAUAGGACGAUCGAUCCUAUUUUGUUGGUUUCUAGGAUUGACGUAAUGAUUAAUAGGGAUAGUUGGGGGCAUUAGUAUUCAAUUGUCAGAGGUGAAAUUCUUGGAUUUAUUGAAGACUAACUACUGCGAAAGCAUUUGCCAAGGAUGUUUUCAUUAAUCAAGAACGAAAGUUAGGGGAUCGAAGACGAUCAGAUACCGUCGUAGUCUUAACCAUAAACUAUGCCGACUAGGGAUCGGAUGAUGUUAAUUUUUUAAUGACUCAUUCGGCGCCUUACAGGAAACCAAAGUGUUUGG